GGGCUGCGGGGCCUUUGAUCUCCCUGAGGCGCGCACCCCGCAGGGAAAUGGAAUCAUGGUGAGGAAGCGCCCCCUUCUGGCCAGAGAGGGAGCUGUCGGCCACGUUUUCCAGCUCUGGGAUGGCGACUGGCCCAGAGGCUGCUACUUUUUCUGUAGGACAGUUAAGGAAUCCAGUUUCUCCUGAGAAAGAGGGGAGACCACCCCUGAAAUCACCCUUCACAGGAUCCUUUUGACCGGCAGCCAUCUUAGGAACAAUGAGUUUCUCUCUCGAGAUCUUGUUUUUUGGUCAGAGAGCAUUUUUGGAGAUCUCCCUCCUGCCUGUCUGUGUCAUCACCCUCCACCCAGGUCAGCAACAAAAUGCUCAGAGACCUGCAUCCCACCCAGGGCUCUCACCUGCUAUACCAGACUCCCAGAUGAGGCUGGUUUCUGGGGUUUGUGCCCCUCCCUCCAUAUUCACCGUUCUGUCCACUGCAGGAUGAUCACAUGAGGCUGCUUCAGUGUCCAUGGAGGAAACACAAAGCAUGAAAUUUCUGAUUCUUCCCACUCAGGCCCCCAGUCGCCAUAUGUGACCCAUCACCCCAUCUCUGGGCAUGAGGUCAACCUGAGGUGCUGCGCCCUGGGUUUCUACCCUGCGGACAUCACCCUGGCCUGGCAGGGAGAUGAAGAGGACAUGGCCCCAGGAAAUGGAGCUUGUGAACAUCAGGCCAGGGAGGGGGGAUGGAAACUACCAGAAGUGGGCAGCUGUGGAGGUGUCUUCUGGAGAGAAGCAGAGAUACACAUGCCAUGUGCAGCAUGAGGGGCUGAUUGCACCCCGAGUCCUGAGAAGGAGUAAGGAGGGAGAUGUGAGCACACGGCUGACUCAGGGGCAUCAGAAGGAUGCCCUUCUCCCUUCUGGAGACCUUCAGAGGGUCAGACUGAGGCCUCAGGUUCAGGGUCUGACCUUCUCUUCCCUUUCAGUUUCCCCUCCUCAGUUCUCCAUCCUUGCUGUCGUCCUCAUUUCUGGCUUGGUUUUCUUUGUUGGUGUGCUCAUUGGACACAAGGUGGCUUCAUGUAUGAGGGGGUAAAAGAAGUUCUCAGGUAGGGAAGGGAGUGGGGAGAUCUUGUCCACUGGGGGCUUUCAUGUCCCAGGGAGAACUUGCCCUGCCUGGUUAAUGGGAAGUACCAUCCACACACGUGUGUUGCCCAGAGGGUAUUUGGUUCAGUCCCCUCUCAUCUCCUUUCUUCAUUUUUCCCAGUCCUGACCUGGGUCUUUACUCACAGUUCUGGAAACUUCCCUGUGGUGCAGGAUUAGAUGAUUCCUUUAGCCUUCUGACCUGACUCCUCCCUGGUCUCGCAUGAUACUUCUUCCCACAGGAGGACAAGGAGGAAGCUACACUCAGGCUGCAACCAUAGUCCCAGUGCUCUGAAGUGUAUCUCAGACCUUAAAGGGUAUUAGACAGCCUUCCGUAGGCCUGAGUGUUACAGGAUUUCUUUUCGCCCAUAUUGUGUGGCUUUAUGAUCCCCUGGUUUAAACCUUCACACCUGCAAGAACGGCCCAUAUCCAAAAGACCAGAAACAACAAGUGCUGGCAAGGAUGAAAAAAGGGGACAGUCGUGCACUGUUUUUGGAUAAAGACGGAGCCAGCCCUUAUGGAAACAGUACGGAGGUUUCUUAAAGAGUGAAUGUGGUUCUGCCAUUGGACCCAGCAAUUCUACACUGAGGAUCUACUCACAGAGGAUAAAUACUCUCCUGUGAAGGGACCUGCACUCCUGUCACCACUGCAGCACUAUUUACAGUAGCCAAGCUAUGGGAACCACCUGAAUGCCCCAGACAGCCGCCCUCUCUGUAGUGUCUCUACUCAGCAGUGUUUGAGCAGCCCCAGGAGUCCCUGCACCUCCUGCCUCUGACCUUGAGGGAAACCAGCCCCUCAGCCUGCUUGACAGUGAGGAGGUAAAGGCAAAGUCCUGAGGUCAGUGACUGAUGGAGGAGACAAUUUCUUUUUACCUUCACGGUAUUAUUCAAUUGAGGUCAGCAUUGGUUUACACACUGCAUGUGUUGAGGCGAGGGUCACACCUCUUCAGAUGUUUGUUACCACAUCACACCCACACUAACGGCACCCACAGUCUUAACCAUAGCCCAUUGGGCCCUCUUCCUACUUUGUUUCCUACUCUUACCCCCAGCCCAUAACUUCCAUUCUGUAGUCAUAUAUAUAGAGUAUGUUUUGGUUUAGUUUCAUCUGUCCCUGCUUUGUUUCUUUAUAUUACAAAUAUGAAAUCAUCCAGUACUUAACUUUCCCCUUCAAACUUAUUUCAUUUAGCACAAUCCCAUUCAUAUCUAUCCAUGUUGUUGCAAAUCCAUUAUUUCAUCUUUUUCACAGCCGAGUAGUAUUCCAUUGUGUAUAUAGCUUGUGUUCUUUAUCCCCUCAUUUGCCGUUGGGCACUAAGGUUGUCUUCAUCGCUUGGUUAUGGUAGACAGCACUGCAGUGACCAUAGGAGGCACAUAUUCCUUGGAAUUAGUGUUUUUACCUUCUUUGGAUAAAUACCAAGGAAUGGGAUGCUUGACCAUGUGACAGGUCUAUUUUGAGGAACCUUCAUUUUUUUUUUUUUCUAUAGGGUCAGGA
This is a long non-coding RNA of Talpa occidentalis (Iberian mole), 2599 nucleotides long. RefSeq lists it as uncharacterized. NCBI's taxonomy places the organism in Eukaryota, Metazoa, Chordata, Mammalia, Eulipotyphla, Talpidae. The record is from RefSeq and is a predicted model, not a curated record. The transcript has 4 exons.